This 162-nucleotide small nuclear RNA is filed under the name Echinops telfairi (small Madagascar hedgehog). Its description in RNAcentral is "U1 spliceosomal RNA (ENSETEG00000022852.1)". It matches the Rfam family "U1 spliceosomal RNA". Rfam says of the family: U1 is a small nuclear RNA (snRNA) component of the spliceosome (involved in pre-mRNA splicing). Its 5' end forms complementary base pairs with the 5' splice junction, thus defining the 5' donor site of an intron. There are significant differences in sequence and secondary structure between metazoan and yeast U1 snRNAs, the latter being much longer (568 nucleotides as compared to 164 nucleotides in human). The record is from RNAcentral. Lineage: Eukaryota; Metazoa; Chordata; Mammalia; Afrosoricida; Tenrecidae.
AAUCUUACCUGGCAUGGAGAUACCAUGAUCACGAAGGUGGUUUUCCCAGGGCGAGGCUCACCCAUUGCACUCCGGAUGUGCUGACCCUGCGAUUUCCCCAAAUGUGGGAAACUCAACUGCAUAAUUUGUGGUGGUGGGGGACUGCGUCCGCGCUCUCCCCUG